RNAcentral lists this transfer RNA (72 nucleotides) under Fukomys damarensis (Damara mole-rat). It matches the Rfam family "tRNA". Rfam says of the family: Transfer RNA (tRNA) molecules are approximately 80 nucleotides in length. Their secondary structure includes four short double-helical elements and three loops (D, anti-codon, and T loops). Further hydrogen bonds mediate the characteristic L-shaped molecular structure. tRNAs have two regions of fundamental functional importance: the anti-codon, which is responsible for specific mRNA codon recognition, and the 3' end, to which the tRNAs corresponding amino acid is attached (by aminoacyl-tRNA synthetases). tRNAs cope with the degeneracy of the genetic code in two manners: having more than one tRNA (with a specific anti-codon) for a particular amino acid; and 'wobble' base-pairing, i.e. permitting non-standard base-pairing at the 3rd anti-codon position. The record is from Rfam by way of RNAcentral. Lineage: Eukaryota; Metazoa; Chordata; Mammalia; Rodentia; Bathyergidae.
UAUAGUGUAGCUCAGUAGUAGAGCAUUUGCCUAGCAUGCACAAAGCUCUGGACUUCAUCCCCAGCACUGUAA